RNAcentral lists this long non-coding RNA (2429 nucleotides) under Mizuhopecten yessoensis (Yesso scallop). RNAcentral's name for it is "uncharacterized LOC110461746". The record is from RNAcentral. Lineage: Eukaryota; Metazoa; Mollusca; Bivalvia; Pectinida; Pectinidae.
CCUGGACUGUGAUUGGUGCAAUAUGGUUUGUUUUCGUAUAUUGAUAUCCGAUCAUCAGCAGCACGAUUGUCAAAGCUGUAAUGCACAGGAUUUUUAUGGCGGAGGAAAGCCGGAUUACCCGGAGAAAAACUACCGACCUGCGGAAAGUACUUGGCGACUGUCCCACGUAGGCCUCGAAACCGCGACCUAGUGGUGGAGGGCUAGUGGUAGCAGAAUAUCAGACGCCUUAACCACCUGGCUACCGCGGCCCCUAAAUACAACAGGUCCAUGGUUCAAAUAAUCACACUCUACGAAACAGAAUGGAGUUAGCAUGUGACAAGAAUGGGAAAAUGCAACAUUCAGAUGGAUAUUCGAUCCUCCGACCUCCGAACCAGCUGUUUUUUUUUAUAUUCCCCUUCCCCUUCACUUUUUCUCCAACUCAUUAGUCACGUAAACAGAUUUACCAUUUCCUCUGCUUACAAUUAUCUGGGCGUCAAAUAUAACAGGGACAGGAAAUACAAGGUCCUAUUGAAUUCGGACUCAUGUAUACUUAACUAUCUGAUCACACCAAAUCGACCAAUUUCAGUCUCGUUAUGAUUGUGGUUACGUACUAGGAAAACACUUCCUUCAAAACUAUGACCAAAUGUAUUAUACAGAUUAUUUUUGUGUAGACGCAGCAGCACAAUCCACUUGGAAUUACAUGACCAAAGGCUGCUAAAAGUAUCAAUUACCAGCACAGAACACGUACAUGUACUAAACUCAAAGUUAUUUGGAAAAAAAAGAAUCAUUUAAAAAUAGUCCAAUAUUCUUCAAAAGCUUGACAGCUAAUAGAAUAACAAAAAUAAAUCACAUAUAGAAUAUAACUCACACAAAGACUUUAUUUCCUCAGAAAGAGUUAUUACUCAAGGUUUCAAAAGUUGAAACAAUUGGGUUGCUCGGAAAUUUUGAAAAUCAAACGAGUACUUUAACUAGAAUAAAAAACAUACCACAAAACUAUGUUUGAAUCACUAAUGAAAACAUCAAAAUCUCAGAUGAUAUAUUCUUAUAUUCUUCACUUGCAAUAAAAUAUAUUUAAGCACUAAAUAAAUACUUCAACAAAAUAUCAAAAUAUUAUAUCGAAGAGGCAAAGAGAUUAUAGACUUUAAAAGGGUAAUAAUGAAAAGCACACGUUGGAUUGGCAUUCAAACUGACACUCAAUAAACAUUAUCAAUGAUAGGAAAAGUAAAGACUACCAAUGCAGCUGUUUAAAUACAAUUUUAACAGCUGAACACAAACUUCAGCAAAUGGAGACUAAUGAAUUAUGUAACUACUGUAAAAACUUUCAGAACACAAAAUAACACAUAUCUAUUUAACCUACAUGUAUUUUAUUUUUUUAAUCUAAAUGGCUUAUAUGGAAGGCAAGAAAUUAACAGAAGUCUUUAAAAACAAAGAACAAAAUCCUGGAGCAUUAUAUAAAAAAAUACUUAGUCAACUGAAAAACAUGGCAAACAUUAUGUUAAGGCAAAGAAAGACAAAGGAUUUUAUUUACUGGUUUUGUUUUUGUUAUUACAUUAAGCAAACAUUUCCUUUUGAUGUUUAAUGUAAGACUUUGUAAACAAUUUUGAAGAUAUUGGUGUGGAGAACAUAAAUAUGCAUUUGAUUGUUAAUGAAUUUUUAUAUUAUGGAUUAAAGGAGGGAUACCAGGGCUCCACAACUCUUGCUUCCUUCCAAAAAUGUGUUAAACAAAUAAAAUUAUAAAAGAGAUAAAAAAAAAAUGGUGGAUACUUACAUAUACGAAACAAACAAGAGUACUGUACUGGCCUUAAUUUUGUAAGGUAAGUAUUUCAUCGGAAAAAAUUGUUUCGGAAUUAAGGAAAAUUCCCUUUCCUGUAGCUGUACUUUCUAAUAAGAAAAUGUAAAUGAAGGAAUUUUCUUAAAUUGAACGAAGCAUAGGUAUACAAACGCCAUGAUGAAAUUUCUAUUGACGCUAUCCUUCCCUAUAUAUACAUACCAUUUCUGAAGAUUUCUUCUAAAACAUAAGAACACUGUCAGUAUGUGUAGAUCUCUUCAACACAACCGUGCUAUAUGAUAUAAUGAUCGGUACAGUAAAAUCCACCGCUGAUUACUGAUAUAAUGACAAAUAAGUAAUCACGUCCGACUAGAAAUAAUGUAGAUUGUCUUUCGUGCUGUAUGUAACAGUGCGACACGAUAAUGGAAAAGUUCUCAAUAACACAUCAUCUGCUGUAUAUCGAUGUGAAUAAAGAUGUUGAUAGUUUCACAACAACUAAAAUACAUGCAGGUGUGUCCCAAGUUAGAGUGAUAAGCGCAUAUGCAAGAUUAUAGGUGUGUUUGUCCUAUCAAUAACGGCGUGGUUAAAGGUUAUCGAAAAAAACUGAAAGCUCAUUUUUGGUAGUAAAUUCAUCAAUAUUGCCGUUCAAUAAAAACGAUAUAGCACACGUACAAUAAACGUG